RNAcentral lists this non-coding RNA (25 nucleotides) under Cricetulus griseus (Chinese hamster). The record is from RNAcentral. Lineage: Eukaryota; Metazoa; Chordata; Mammalia; Rodentia; Cricetidae.
CCAUAAAGACUUUGGGCCUGAGAGA